CCUACGGGAGGCAGCAGUGGGGAAUAUUGGACAAUGGGGGCAACCCUGAUCCAGCCAUGCCGCGUGAAUGAUGAAGGCCUUCGGGUUGUAAAGUUCUUUUGACAGGGAGGCGGUACCUGUAGAAUAAGCUCCGGCUAACUUCGUGCCAGCAGCCGCGGUAAUACGAAGGGAGCUAGCGUUGUUCGGAAUUACUGGGCGUAAAGGGCGCGUAGGCGGCUUGGCAAGUUGGGUGUGAAAGCCCAGGGCUCAACCCUGGAAUAGCACUCAAGACUGCCUUGCUUGAAUUCGGUAGAGGAUGGUGGAAUUCCCAGUGUAGAGGUGAAAUUCGUAGAGAUUGGGAAGAACACCCGUGGCGAAGGCGGCCAUCUGGACCGCUUGACGCUGAGGCGCGAAAGCGUGGGGAUCAAACAGGAUUAGAUACCCUUGUAGUC
Molecule: ribosomal RNA, 431 nt
Filed under: uncultured bacterium
Lineage: Bacteria
Description: partial 16S ribosomal RNA
Rfam family: Bacterial small subunit ribosomal RNA
Source: RNAcentral